UGGCUGGGCUGGUAUCAGUGAGAUACCCGCAGCUGAAACCUCAUUUCACAGCUUGAUAAAAAUUAAACAUAAAAGACUCUUCCUGCUCCACAAUGGAAAUAUAGGCUGCUUUGUGAUGAGACGUGCUGCCUCUCGUACAUGAAUCACUAGCUUCCAGCCCCACCUUGCUUCUGAGUAAUGGUCCAUGGAUUGAGAGGCACUUGCUCAUCAUUGAAAGUCAUUGCUCAUUACAUCGCAGAGAAAGUUUGCAAAACUUUCUGCCUGGAGUCUCGAAGCCUUGUCAACAUGACCUCAGGAAGACCCUUCACCCCUGGAAUCCUGACUCUUUGCCUGGCAGCAUUGGCUCCAGCACCUCAUUGUGAUCCUAGAGCAGCAGCUGGGAAAAUCACAUUUGGCUUCGUUAGGCUCUGCCAAAGGUGGGCUAGAGGGAAGCUGCAAAAGGGCGGAGGAAGUCCGGAAUCGCUCCCUGCUGUCUGCUGCCUGUGAAUUUCUUGUCCUCUGCCUGUGGACGUCCUGUCGGUUUCUAAUGGGUUUCCUGUUCUUGGUAGCACCACCCCAGCAGUGGUGGUUUCUUUCUGAGUAGCUGAGUCCACACUGCGGUUUCUCCAGCUCUCUCAGAAAAGCUUCAUCACGUCCCCCCAGAGCCAUCAGCAUCCGAAGGCCAUUCUCCCCUCCUCAGAGGUUCCGGUCCCCAUAGCCUCUCCUCUUAGUUUUCUACAUUUAAAUAAUCCCAGCCUUUUCCUCCUUGUUCCUUCUGUUCUAGAGGUGGUAGCUGCUUCCUAUAGGUGCUGCCUCUGUGAUAACUCCCAGUUUCCUAGUUAACAACUCUAUACCUCGUUGACAAUUUCCUGUUAUGAAAGUCUCUGUGUAGAAACAACUUCUGUGAUUUCUGAUACCUGUCUGGACUCUGACGGAUAACACCACUAUUAGCGGAUUAAUUUUUAAGUUUCUGAUUUUUUUUCCAUGAAUUAAUUAUUUUAUGAUUUUCUUUUUCGGCUGCCCUGUGGCAUAUGGAGUUGGCAGGCCACGGAGAGAAUCCGAGUCAGGGUUGUGACCUAGGCCACAGCUGCGACAACACUGGAUCUUUAACCCACUGCUCUGGGCUGGGGAUGGAAUUCAAACCCUGGUGCUGCAGAGACACCAUUUCUCCCAUUGUGCCAUAGCAGGAACUCCUUUUUCUAUGAGUUUAUGCACACAUGUGCAUGCACAUGUGUAUUAUGUUUAAUCAUAAGUACAUGACUUUAUUUUUAUAAAAAUGCCAUUAUAUUCUUUGCCUACUCUUUGGCACCCUGCACGUUCCAGUUAAUUUUAAACAUGAUGAAAUAAGAAAUAAAAAAUAUAUUCUGAGGAACUUUCCAUGUCAGUACGUAUGAGGUUUCUUUAUAAUUUUUCUGGUCUCCACAGUGUUUCAUAAUCUAUUCGAUGAUGACCAUUCAUAGAACUUUUGGUUGUUUCUAAUUUUUUUGCAAUUAUAGAAAAAUUUUUAUGAAUAUACAUACACACACACAGGCAAUUCUUUUUUUUUCGCACACAGGCAAUUCUUGAGGUGUACGUUUUAGUAUAGAUCUUUAAGACAGAUUCCUAGUAUUGAAUAGUUUAAAUAACAUUCCCACUAACUUUUUUUUCUAGAUACAUGCAUCUGGUGCCCUCAAAAUAAACUUUAUCAUCUGAUAUUACCGCCAGCAAUAGGUGAUUGUGUCUAAAAGGAAAAACCCAGUCUUUCCCUAUGUUGUAGGGAAGAACCCUCUUUCAGUCUGUCUCCUGGUUUGUUUCUUCAAUUUUUAAAUUUCUUUGGUUUUUUAGGGUCACCCCUGUGGCAUAUGAAGGUUCCCAGGCUAGGGGUAAUUGGAGCUGUAGCUGCUGCCCUAUGCCACGGCCACAGCAAUGCAGGACCUGAGCGGUGUCUGUGACCUCCACCACAGCUUGUGGCAAUGCCAGAUCCUUACCCCACUGAGCGAGGCCAGGGAUGAAACCCACAUCCUCAUGGACACUAGUUAUCCUUCAUUACCACUGAGCCAUGACGGGAACUGCUCCUGUGCGUUUCUAUUAUCACUCACACAAAAUACUUCACUCCUGACAGUUCUGGUCAUCAAAUGUGUGGAAGUUUCCCCCCACCCCAAACAAUUCUGUGUGACACCAGCUGGGUGUCCUACAAUUUAAUUCAAUUCUGACACUGCCUACUUGGAGACAGCAUCAGACCUCAGUGGUUAAGGGCUCAGUUCCAUAAGAACUGCCCCCUGCUCCUCCAGACACCAGCUGCAAGACCAGAUUAUCCCCUAAACUUUGGGCAGAACUGCUAUAGAUUAGAGGUUCCAACAACUCCCUCCUUGGGCUCAAUUAAUUUGCUAGAGCAGCUCACAGAACUCAGGAAAACACAUUUAUCAUUUUAUUAAAGGAUGUGAUAAAGCAACAGAUGAACAGCCAGAUGAAGAGAUACAUAGGGUGAAGUCUAGGAGGGUCCUGAGCACAGGAGCUUCUGUUCUGUGAACUCGGGGUGCGUCACCUUCUCCACGUGGAUGCUUGCCGACCUUGGGGGUCUCUGAACCCCUUGCUAUUGGGGUUUUAUGGAGGCUUCAUCAUAUGGACAUGAUGAAUUACUAACUCCAUUCUAGCCCUUCUCCCCUGCAGACUGGGGGUUGCUGCUGAAAAUUCCCAGCUUCUAAUCAUGGCUAGGUCUUUCUGAUGACCAGCCCCCCUCCAGGGUGGGAGCCAUCCAGGAGCCCACCCUGAAUCACCUCAUUAGAACAAAAUAUGCUCCUGGUGCUCUUCUUAGGAAUUUUUGAGGGUUUUAGGGGUUCUGUGCCAGGGACUGAGGGCAGAGACCACUGUCUAUAUUUUCCGUUAUCUCACAGUGCCCAUCUGCUUUCUCUCUUGUAUGAAUUCCUAAAAGUUUCUGGCCUGCUGAUGGCAUACUCUUUUUUAUAUUCCAGGGAUAGUAUUGAUUUUCUGUUGCUUCUUAGGUAGGAGUGACCAGAGCAUGUGCUCAGCUGCCAUCUUGAUCCAAUUUUCUCAAAUACCAGUUUUUUCCAGUAGCCUUGAUAUUCUUCUUUCAAUAAAUCUUAAAGUAGUCUAUUGUCAAUUAUCUUGCUUCCCAGGCAAACUUGAGAAUGCUUUGGAUGGUUUUUUUGCACAAGGAAAAUGAUUUGAACAUUUUUUCUAGACAGGUGAGUUUCUUUCUUCUUGAAGAAUGAACCUUACAAGGAGUAUUAAUGAGGAAACUAUGACCAAGAGUUAAUAGUAAUUGCAAUACAAAAUAGACAUUUUUUGAGCACAUAUAUCCACCACAUCCUAUUAGGUACCUUUACACUGACUAUGUAAUUGAAUACUUAGAGUAAUUCUAUUUUAUAGAUGUGGAAACUGAGGCUUAGAGAAGUUAAAUAACUUGCCAAAAACACAUAGUUAGCAAGCAGCAGAGCCAGAAUGUAAAUCCAGGUAUUCAGACUUCUUUUUACUAUUUAAUCAUGAAUUUAUUCAUAAAUGUAUAUUAAUUGCACACUUUGUGUGGUAGCCAGUUUCUAAGACAGUCCCCUGGUGACUCCUGCCUCCUAGUAUUCACCAGUAGGUGGUCUUUCCCCACAGUGAAUAUGAUGGAUCUGUGUAAUCAAGAGGAUAUUGUAGAAGUAACGUGUGUGACUUCCAAAUCUCCAUCAUAAAACACAUUGUGGCUUCUGCCUUACUCUCUCUUGGAUCAGCCAUGAAAAUGAGCCACUUUGGAAGCCUGCAGUCCAACCUUCAGAUAAUUGUAGGCUCACAUCUUGACUGCAAUCUCAUGAAGGGACCAUAAACCAGAACCACCCAGCUGAGCUGCUGCCAAAUUCUUGCUGCACAGAAGAAACUGUGUGAGAUGACUCAUGUUAUCACUUUAUGCCACUUAGUCUUGGGAUAGUUUGUUACACAGCAAUAGAUAACUGUUAUAUUUAGUCUAUGUCAGGUGAAGUCCUAGGUAUUGGGGAUAUGGAAGUCAAUAAUGCAGACAAAGUUCCCUUAUGUGUUUUGUUUGUUGCCUUUCUCUUGCUGCUUCUAUUUUAUCUUUAAGUGUUGUCAUUUUACUUACAUUAUGUCUUGGUGUGUUCCUCUUUGGGUUAAUCCUGUAUAGGACUCUUUGGGCUUUGUGGACAUGAGUGACUAUUUCCUUUCCCAGGUUAAAGAAGUUUUCAGUUAUUAUGUCUUCAAAUAUGUUCUCAGCCCUUUUCUCUCUUCUUUUUCUGAAUCUCCUAUAAUGUGAAUAUUAGUGCAUGUAAUCUUGUCCCAGAGGUCUCUUAAACUGUCCUUGUUUCUUUUCAUUCUUUUUUCCUUAUUCUGUUCUGAGGCAGUGAUUUCCUCUACUUUGUCUUUCCAGCUCAGUGAGCUACUUUCUGUACUGUUUAGUCUACUUUUGAUUCCUUCUCGUGUAUUUUUCAUUUCAGUUAUUGCAUUCUUCACCUUUGAUUGGUUAUUCUUUGUAUUUUCUAACUCUUUGUAAAUAACUUCUGACCUUUUAUUCUGUGCAUCCAUUCUUCUCAUGAGUUCUUUGAUCAUAUUUGCAUCUUUGUUAUCCAGAACUCUUUCUUGGGUAGUUUGCCUAUCUCCACUUUAUUUAGCUGUUCUUCUGGGGUUUUAUCUUGUUCCAUUGUCUGAAAUAUAUUCCUCUGCUGUCUCAUUUUGUCUAAAUUUCUAUUGGUAUUUUUUAUAUAUGUGGAAGGUUAUUUAUGUUUCUCAACCUUUCUCAACAUGUAGGACAUCCCCUACAAAGGGCCACUUCAGUGUCCCAGCAGCACAUGCUCCUCUUGUAACCCAAGGGCCAGGGACCAGCUGGUCCCAGGGUAGUGUCUACCCUAUGUUUGUGGACUUAUUUCUGCAGGUUGUGGGACUGUAGUUUUCUUGCUUCUGGCUUCUGCCCCAUGGUGGGUGAGGCUGGUCCAGAGGUGUGCACAUGCUUCCUGAUGGGAGGGGCUGGUACCUGCCCACUGGUGGGUUGAGCUGGUUCUUGACCCUCUAGUGGGCAGAGCUGCGUCAAAGGGUGUGUCUAGAGGCAGCUGUGGGCUCAGGAAAGUUUUUAGGCAGCCAGCCUGCUGAUGGGUGGGACUGUGUUCUUGCCCUAUUGGUUGCUUGGUUAUGAGCCCCGCAUUGGAAGAACUGGGGCUGCUGUGGAAGAACCUCUGGAAUAUAAGUUUUCUCUUGCUUGUGCCUCACCCACCAGGAGGUAUGGAACUUGAUUAUAUCGCAAAUCUGUGCCUCCUCCCAUCUCAUUGUGGAUUCUUCCUUAUGUCUUUAGUUGCAGAAUAUCUUUUGUGGCAACUUUUGCUCUUUGUCAUCAAUGGUCGUUCUGCAGAUGGUUGUGAUUUUGGUG
RNAcentral lists this long non-coding RNA (5329 nucleotides) under Sus scrofa (pig). RNAcentral's name for it is "lncRNA (ENSSSCG00000062006.1)". Lineage: Eukaryota; Metazoa; Chordata; Mammalia; Artiodactyla; Suidae. The record is from RNAcentral.